CUCAGCUAUCACUGGUACACAAAAUUUCAGCUUGUUUAACUGCCUACAUCUCUCUCUGAAGUUAACAGUAGAAUAGCCAAGUAGAAAUCAUUCCCCAGAUGUUACAAGUGCUCUGAAAUAUGUUUGAAACUAUCUAAAUACUUUACACUUCUUAUAAAUUCAUAUCUUGAUCCCAGAAGAGGAUCCAGUGCACUCACCAUGGACUAAUAAACAUUUAGAAAAGUUAAAUUACUUAGAGAUAUUUAAGUUUCAUACAAAUAUGUGUAAAGUGUAGACACUCUCCAGCAUAAAACAGAACCUGCAAAGAUCUUUGUUUAUUUAAUUGCAUUUUGGUUCAUCCAUUUAAUAAAGAGGAUCAUUUUUUAACCUCUCCAGUAACAAACAGUAUUUCAGAUUCUGUUACAACAGGCUGGAGAAAGAGAAAUCUUAAACCGAGGGCGUUUAGUCACCUGCAGAGUAGGAGAGAUUGAAAAGGAAAAUAGAUUUACUGCCUUCCACAUUAGUCUGAAGGCAAUUUGUGUUUGAAUUCCUCUUAAAUCAAUUUCUGAAUAAUAUUAGUUGUCUGAAAUGAUGCAAAAUUAUAUUGGAAUUCAGCCCCGUUUUGCCGCACAAAGAAAUUCUCUCUCUUCGUCCUUGCUACUCUUUAAGUCAUCUGUUUUCCCCUCAUUUAUUCUUUCAUGAUGUGCUCUGCCUGCUGACGAGUGAAAUGUGAACAGGAAGUGGGAAGGAGCAGCCUUUGUCUCUCCUGCCAGUGUGCUUCAUACAUUUGGGAAGAAGCAGACCUGCAUCAUAAAACCAACCGAAAGCCACGGAGUUACCUCUCUAAAAAAUGUAAUGGACUGUACUGAAAGCCUAACUUUGACUGAUGUGAGGUUUGGGACUUCAUCCAGGAGAUGCUGGCAUGUCAGAGUCCCUUUGAUGAGCAGAGUGUAGUAAGCAACAGACACUGGGAAAAUACUUCCUAUCUGUUAGAAAAAGGUGACAGUUUUCAAAUAGAUGAUACACGAUUUAGUUUUGUUGGUCCUUUUCAAGACUGAGAUAUCAAGGCUCACAUGUUCAGAGGACUUGACAUCAGUAAGAGCUGCCACAGACCCUUUACAACAGACUAAUCAAAAUGAAAAAACCCAAACCUGUAGGAGAUUACUUUUAAGAAGGUUACAUCUAGGUCCAAGAGUCUUCAGCAAUUCUUUGCAAGC
This 1196-nucleotide long non-coding RNA is filed under the name Zonotrichia albicollis (white-throated sparrow). RNAcentral's name for it is "lncRNA (ENSZALG00000007399.1)". The record is from RNAcentral. Lineage: Eukaryota; Metazoa; Chordata; Aves; Passeriformes; Passerellidae.